AGGCAGCUCACAUGGUCCUCUCUCCUCCAUCUUAUCUUCACAACAACCCUGUGAGGAAGGCUAGACUGAGAGUGAGCGUCUGGCCAGAGAAUGCAGGUUCUUCAUGGCCGUGUGGGGAUUUGAACCCGGAUCUCCUGAGUCCCAAUCCAGCACUCAAGCCAGUCUGCCACACUGCGUCUUGAUGUAUUGGAGUGAGAAGAAAAGAAAGGUUACUUCUUCUGUCCUGGGACUCUGCACCCUUUGGCCGCAUCUCCCAUGAUAUCCCAGUACUCCCCAAACUGCAGUUUGGCCUCGUCAUUAUCUCCGAGACACUCAAUCUUCUCAUCCAGCGUCCCGACACCCUGCAUUGAGAAGAGAGAGCCAUCAAAACUCAGCAGAGGGACCAUGGACCCGGCAAUGUCUUCUUCUGGUCUACAGAAGGUCUACAGAACCUGUCUACCACAACAUAGGUAUGAGAGGACCUUUUCAAUGGUGAACCCGAAGCAGAGUGACCACCUGUCCUCUAGGACUGAGAGUAAUCCUCUGUUUUGAAGGAUUCCUCCAGGUGGAAGACUGUCCAGUCCCUGUCGGGUUUAAAAAUAAAGGACCAUCGGAAGGAACAGUUGGACCUUGAAGCUGCCGAUCCACAACACCUGGACUGCAGACAGAGCAAGGGAGCCUGGAUAUUUCCCGAUGCCCUUUCCAGUCUUUUCUUCUUCCCCAAAGCGACAGGAAACCGGAUCUACCUGAUGCUUUCCUGUUCCAUCUGAGCGAACCAGCGCGUUUUGUCCCAUUCACUCAUAUGGCGCAAGAGCAAAUGCAGCAGCCGUCAAACCCCAAACGCACAGGUGAGCAGGUACACGAUCGCUUACAAUCGCCUCCUGACCUGAGGAGGUUCAAUCUGGCACCUUCUGGAUGUUUGGACUAAAUUCCUACUAGCCUCAGCCGGCACGGCCAAUGGUCGUGGAUGAUGGGAGUUUCCAUCCAAAACUUCUGGAGUGUGCCGGGUUGCCCACCCCUCAUUUUGGAUGUAGGGCAAUGUAGGCAUGAAGCCCCCCAGCUUUGCUCCCCACCCCCACGGCUGCCUCGCGCCACCUGAUGGAUUGGCCGGGUUGCUCUCCUCACCUUGGACAAAUGCGGGAGCCUCUGACCCACCAGCUCC
Long non-coding RNA from Varanus komodoensis (Komodo dragon), 1141 nucleotides. RefSeq lists it as uncharacterized. Lineage: Eukaryota; Metazoa; Chordata; Lepidosauria; Squamata; Varanidae. The record is from RefSeq and is a predicted model, not a curated record. The transcript has 3 exons.